RNAcentral lists this ribosomal RNA (530 nucleotides) under uncultured bacterium. RNAcentral's name for it is "bacterial SSU rRNA". It matches the Rfam family "Bacterial small subunit ribosomal RNA", at positions 369 to 917 of the family's 1533-position model. The record is from RNAcentral.
GAAUGGGGCGCAGCCUGAUCCAGCCAUGCCGCGUGAGUGAAGAAGGCCUUAGGGUCGUAAAGCUCUUUCGCCUGUGAUGAUAAUGACAGUAGCAGGUAAAGAAACCCCGGCUAACUCCGUGCCAGCAGCCGCGGUAAUACGGAGGGGGUUAGCGUUGUUCGGAAUUACUGGGCGUAAAGCGCGCGUAGGCGGAUUGGAAAGUUAGAGGUGAAAUCCCGGGGCUCAACCCCGGAACGGCCUUUAAAACUCCCAGUCUAGAGUUCGAGAGAGGUGAGUGGAAUUCCAAGUGUAGAGGUGAAAUUCGUAGAUAUUUGGAGGAACACCAGUGGCGAAGGCGGCUCACUGGCUCGAUACUGACGCUGAGGUGCGAAAGUGUGGGGAGCAAACAGGAUUAGAUACCCUGGUAGUCCACACCGUAAACGAUGAAUGCCAGUCGUCGGAUAGUAUACUAUUCGGUGACACACCUAACGGAUUAAGCAUUCCGCCUGGGGAGUACGGUCGCAAGAUUAAAACUCAAAGGAAUUGACGGA